RNAcentral lists this ribosomal RNA (201 nucleotides) under Triticum aestivum (bread wheat). Its description in RNAcentral is "partial small subunit ribosomal RNA". The stretch from base 1 to 137 matches the Rfam family "Bacterial large subunit ribosomal RNA", at positions 2678 to 2813 of the family's 2925-position model. The record is from RNAcentral. Lineage: Eukaryota; Viridiplantae; Streptophyta; Magnoliopsida; Poales; Poaceae.
CUAGUACGAGAGGACCGGGAAGGACGCACCUCUGGUGUACCAGUUAUCAUGCCUACGGUAAACGCUGGGUAGCCAAGUGCGGAGAGGAUAACUGCUGAAAGCAUAUAAGUAGUAAGCCCACCCCAAGAUGAGUGCUCUCUCCUCCGACUUCCCUAGAGCCUCCGGUAUCACAGCCGAGACAGCGACGGGUUCUCCACCCAU